CCUACGGGAGGCAGCAGUGGGGAAUAUUGGGCAAUGGGCGCAAGCCUGACCCAGCCAUGCCGCGUGCAGGAAGAAGGCUCUCGGAUUGUAAACCUCUUUUAUCAGGGACGAAGCAAGUGACGGUACCUGAUGACUAAGCCUCGGCUAACUACGUGCCUGCAGCCGCGGUAAUACGGAGGUGGCAAGCGUUAUCCGGAUUUACUGGGUGUAAAGGGCGUGUAGGCGGGAGUGCAAGUCAGAUGUGAAAACUAUGGGCUCAACCCAUCGACUGCAUUUGAUACUGUACUUCUUGAGUGCUGGUGAGGCAAUCGGAAUGCCGUGUGUAGCGGUGAAAUGCGUAGAGAUACGGAGGAACACCAGUGGCGAAGGCGGAUUGCUGGACAGUAACUGACGUUGAGGCGCGAAAGCGUGGGGAGCAAACAGGAUUAGAUACCCGAGUAGUC
RNAcentral lists this ribosomal RNA (443 nucleotides) under uncultured bacterium. RNAcentral's name for it is "partial 16S ribosomal RNA". It matches the Rfam family "Bacterial small subunit ribosomal RNA", at positions 338 to 795 of the family's 1533-position model. The record is from RNAcentral.